AAUUUUGGACAAUGGGGGAAACCCUGAUCCAGCCAUCCCGCGCGUAUGAUGAAGGCCUUCGGGUUGUAAAGUACUUUUGGCAGAUAAGAAAAGGUACCUCCUAAUACGAGGUACUGCUGACGGUAUCUGCAGAAUAAGCACCGGCUAACCACCUGCCAGCAGCCGCGGUAAUACGUAGGUUGCAAGCGUUAAUCGGAAUUACUGGGCGUAAAGCGUGUGUAGGCGGUCGGAAAGAAAGAUGUGAAAUCCCAGGGCUCAACCUUGGAACUGCAUUUUUAACUGCCGAGGUAGAGUAUGUCAGGGGGGGGUAGAAUUCCACGUGUAGCAGUGAAAUGCGUAGAUAUGUGGAGGGAUACCGAUGGCGAAGGCAGCCCCCUGGAAUAAUACUGACGCUCAGACACGAAAGCGUGGGGAGCAAACAG
RNAcentral lists this ribosomal RNA (422 nucleotides) under uncultured bacterium. RNAcentral describes it as "partial 16S ribosomal RNA". It matches the Rfam family "Bacterial small subunit ribosomal RNA", at positions 360 to 775 of the family's 1533-position model. The record is from RNAcentral.